RNAcentral lists this ribosomal RNA (422 nucleotides) under uncultured bacterium. RNAcentral's name for it is "bacterial SSU rRNA". It matches the Rfam family "Bacterial small subunit ribosomal RNA", at positions 355 to 774 of the family's 1533-position model. The record is from RNAcentral.
UUAAGAAUCUUGCUCAAUGGACGAAAGUCUGACGCAGCGACGCCGCGUGCAGGAAUAAGGUCCUGUGGAUUGUAAACUGCUUUUAUUUGGGAAUAAACCUCCUUACGUGUAGGGAGCUGAAGGUACCAAAGGAAUAAGCACCGGCUAACUCCGUGCCAGCAGCCGCGGUAAUACGGAGGGUGCAAGCGUUAUCCGGAAUCAUUGGGUUUAAAGGGUCCGCAGGCGGGCUAAUAAGUCAGAGGUGAAAUCCCACAGCUUAACUGUGGAACUGCCUUUGAAACUGUUAGUCUUGAGUAAAUUAGAGGUAGCUGGAAUAAGUAGUGUAGCGGUGAAAUGCAUAGAUAUUACCCAGAACCCCGAUUGCGAAGGCAGGCUACUACGCCGUGAUUGACACUGAGGCACGAGAGCGGGGGUAGCGAACA